This 201-nucleotide ribosomal RNA is filed under the name uncultured bacterium. Its description in RNAcentral is "partial 16S ribosomal RNA". It matches the Rfam family "Bacterial small subunit ribosomal RNA", at positions 1301 to 1500 of the family's 1533-position model. The record is from RNAcentral.
CAGGCUGCAACCCGCCCUGUAUGAAGUUGGAAUCGCUAGUAAUCGCGGAUCAGCAUGCCGCGGUGAAUACGUUCCCGGGCCUUGUACACACCGCCCGUCACACCAUGAGAGUCGGGAACACCCGAAGUCCGUAGCCUAACCGCAAGGGGGGCGCGGCCGAAGGUGGGUUCGAUAAUUGGGGUGAAGUCGUAACAAGGUACC